GACGAACGCUGGCGGCGUGCUUAACACAUGCAAGUCGAACGGAAAGGCCUGCUUUCCCUUGUGGAUUGCGGGUACUCGAGUGGCGAACGGGUGAGUAACACGUGAGUGAUCUGCCCCCAACUUGGGUAUAAGCCUGGGAAACUGGGUCUAAUUCCCGAUAGGACUUCAGGGUGGUGCCUGUGGUGGAAAACGAUUUUAUAGUGGUUGGGGUUGAGUUCGCGGCCUAUCAGCUUGUUGGUGGGGUAAUGGCCUACCAAGGCUGCGACGGGUUGCCCGCCUGUGAGGAGGGACAGCCACAUUGGGACUGGGAUACGGCUCAGACUCGUACGGGAGGCAGGAGUGGGUAGUAUAGCACAAUGGGCGUAAUCCAGAUGCGGCGACGCCGCGUGGAGGAUGACGGCCUUCGGGUGGUAAACUCCUUUCGACCGCGAGGAAGCCACCUGUUUGGAAGGGUGGUGACGUUAGUAGUAGAAGAAGCGCCGGCUAACUACGUG
Molecule: ribosomal RNA, 494 nt
Filed under: uncultured bacterium
Lineage: Bacteria
Description: partial 16S ribosomal RNA
Rfam family: Bacterial small subunit ribosomal RNA
Source: RNAcentral